CUGAACCAGCCAAGUAGCGUGAAGGAUGAAGGCUCUAUGGGUCGUAAACUUCUUUUAUAUGGGAAUAAAGUUUUCCACGUGUGGAAUUUUGUAUGUACCAUAUGAAUAAGGAUCGGCUAACUCCGUGCCAGCAGCCGCGGUAAUACGGAGGAUCCGAGCGUUAUCCGGAUUUAUUGGGUUUAAAGGGAGCGUAGGUGGAUUGUUAAGUCAGUUGUGAAAGUUUGCGG
RNAcentral lists this ribosomal RNA (227 nucleotides) under uncultured bacterium. Its description in RNAcentral is "partial 16S ribosomal RNA". It matches the Rfam family "Bacterial small subunit ribosomal RNA", at positions 383 to 607 of the family's 1533-position model. The record is from RNAcentral.